GCCCCGCGGCCCCGGGCAGAGCGGCCCCGGGUGGGGGCGGCCCGGCCCGAGGGAGAUGGCGCGUGCGGAGACGGCAGGGAACUCGGGGCUCAUUCGAAGGGAACUAUCGAGGCGUAAAUGGAUUUAGCGAGAUAGAAGUAGAUAGGCCGGACUGAGGGGGGGGAAAAUGUGGCGUUGGUGAUUUUUUUUUUUUUAAAUCACUCUUGUAAUCUCAUUCAGUCUGAAGGGUAAAUAAAUUGCAGUUGUAUGGAAAACAAUUGGCGCUACAUGUGUUCAUAACAGAUGGGAUCUUAUCACAGUUUAACUGUAAUAAAUUCUGACUUCUGGAAAUUGUAAUCUUUGCUCCAUGGUAGAUGUUGUCUCGUUUCUGCUGUAAUAACAGCGCUGCAAAACUUCUGCGAGCGAGCAGAAAAGUUUCGGCGCUGGCGCAGCUCAGCAGCCCCGCAUCCUGCGGCCGCCGUGCUGCCAGCGCUCUCCCAAAGUUUCGCUGAGAACGCCCUCGGAAAUCAAAGGAGGAGAAAAUGCUGGCGCCCAGGGAGGCGAACAGCUGAUCCUGCCCCCGUCGGCGACGUUAUUUACUAAGGCCAAUGAUCACGGCCCUUAAAAGACACGCAGAGCGGCUAAGAAUGAGCUCUCUGUGUGGAGCGGCCCUGGCAAGUGACAGAUCACGCUUCGCUUCGCGAGCGCAGAAAAUGUCAGAGGAACGCAGCUCCCGAGGAAGCCGAGACCAAAGUUCAGAUUAAUCCCCCCGCGCUUCACAUCACAAAAUUAAAAUAUAAAUUUGAAUAACCACCGAAAGAAUAAAAUUAUAACAAUAAAUUGCCAAAAUUCACCGAGGCUGGGGACUAAUUAUUUCCUCCAUCUCGGCUUCCCAUUGCUGUUUAUCAAGUCGCAGGAUAAAUGCUUGUAAAUCCACUCCAUUUCCAUAAAUUCUCUCGCCGCCUUCUUUUUGGCCAAUGCUUUUGCAACAUUAAUUGAUUUUAUUGCACUUUCUGAAGUCACUGUAUAUUACGCUCAAGCAAGUUUGCUCUGAAAGCGUUGCUCUUUCCAUCGUCACAUGAAAGCCGGGAAGGGGAAUUACUGAAGCCACCACAGCCUCGAGUCUCCUUUUUUUUUCCCUGCUGUGAUCUUGAUGGCAAAUGCGAACUGCAAAUUACAAAUUUCUAAUAAUCCGCGCUGUUACAGAACACAGCCCCUGUAUCGCCGGUGAGAAAUUAGCAUGAAUCCCAGCAACGCAUUUCCCCAUUGUUUCUAAACCGGGGGUGGGGUGGAGAGGUGAAACGCUACUGAGCACCGAGAUCAAACAGACCGAGGAACACUUACGGUGUGAGUCAUUACCGCUACUGGACGGACAGCAGUUAUUUUUAGGAAAGGAUUUUCGAUGUAUAACUGCAAGUUUAAUUCUCCUUAGAAGUACACAGGCUCCAGGUUUCCCUUCUCCCCUUCCCCCUCAGUCUUCUUAGGAGCACUGCGCCCACCCAGCCUUCACCUGGUGGACCUUACUCGACACCAGCGAUCGCCCUGUGCUCCCUGGCUGCACCUGGCCUGAGCCGAAGCCGCCCUACACCCCACACCGGGCAGCCCCAGCCUCGCAGCUCUGGCCCUGCCCGCGGGCGGGACCCAGCCAGGCUCUGACUGCCUGCAGCCCUGCACAGAUGCACUUGGAGGCACGGUGGUGAUGCAAGAGCCCUGUUAAAUGGAUAGGGGUAACUACUGGAAGUGACAGAAGAGGCACACAGGUUUCAGCUGUGAUGAGAAGGUCCCAGCGAGAAAAUCUGAAGAGAUCACCCAAGGUGGAUCAGAAGUAAACAGAAGGGCAAACUGGCAUGGUCAGGUCAGCUGGACUGAGGAGCUAACAUACUGAGUAUGGAGACUUGUUACUUAAAGCCAAGAGUG
This is a long non-coding RNA of Numida meleagris (helmeted guineafowl), 1896 nucleotides long. RefSeq lists it as uncharacterized. The record is from RefSeq and is a predicted model, not a curated record. The transcript has 3 exons. Lineage: Eukaryota; Metazoa; Chordata; Aves; Galliformes; Numididae.